Molecule: non-coding RNA, 246 nt
Organism: Pelobates cultripes (western spadefoot toad)
Lineage: Eukaryota; Metazoa; Chordata; Amphibia; Anura; Pelobatidae
Source: the annotation of a GenBank genome assembly
AUUUGAAUGGCAAAAAGAGACGGUUUGGAAAAUGUCCUAGGUUUUGCCAUUCAUGCCUGAAAUGGCAUGUUUAGUGAAUAAACCCCCUACCAGUCAGUCUGAUUCUUUCAGAAUGUGAAAAAAGCCUGAUUUAUGGACAAAGCAGUGAGUUAAAAGCAGACUUUCCAAUCCAGCCAAUAAUCAGCCGUGAUAUUCACUAAGCUCCGAACUAAUGUAGCUCAUUGAAAUCCAAAUAACACAUUCUAG